UGAACCGGGUGGCUGGAGUCUCCUCUCCUCACGGGACCUGUUAAUUAGUGGACAAUUGGCUUUGGCUCUAGUUUUUCCUUGAAACCCAAUUUGAGGGGAGUGGAUAAUUGCCUUGUGAACUGAGUGGCUGGAGUAUCCUCUCCUCAGGAGACCGUUUUUUCUUCUCUCUAUUUUCUGUUUGUUAAGGCAGUGCAAAAGCAAUUUGACAUGCCGAUAUAUAAGAACAAGAUCAUGAUCAAUGAUCAUAGUAGUACACUCCUGACGAUCUGUAUGAUUCCUUUUGCCUGCUUGCUUGCUCUCGAGUAGUUUGUAGUUUAUAAUAGUGCAUCAUUGGUGAACAAUUAUCACAGAGAAUCCACGUAACGCAUCAUCUCUUGCAUAACACAAAUGGGAAUCAUUCGUACCAUAGAGUCCAGUGGUACAAAUCAACCAGUGCUAUCUCUCUUUUUUUUUUGAAAAGGAGGAUGACCUCCGGCUGCAUCAGGACAAUGCAUGCAAUCUAUCUAUCUAUCUAUACCUCUAUACCUAUAUAUACCUAUACCAAAAAAUUACCACGUUAAUUAGAAAAUAGGAGCCGUUAAUCUGAUGGGACCGAGUUAUAACGGCCAGAUUUCAUUAGACAAUAGGAACCGUUAAUCUGAUGGAACCGAGUUAUAACGGCCAGAUUUAAGUAGACAAUAUGAGCGGUUAAUGGGGACAGAAAAAUUAUCUGGAUGCAAAAGAAAAGGCAGUCACGUUAAAAAGGAUUUCUGACAAUUCUUCUCCUGUUUCUUUUGUGAUUACACGUACACAUAAUUAUAUUGAGUCCUACUUCUAUACGUAUGGCUGGAAUCACAAGAUAAAAUAGGAGACUCUACUCCUUUUUGUUUAUAGAAGAGUCCUACUUCGGUACGUGCUGGGUAACCGUCCAACAGCCGUACAUGAUCCAAAAAAAAAUAAACGCAUCUAAUCUCCACAAGCCGCUUGGCCUUUUGCACGCAAAAUAAGCUGCUUGGCCUUUCAACUAAAAAAAAAACUCUCAGCUUUUCAACUAAAAAGAUGCUGCUCGGCCUUUAGGGUCCCAAUUCCAUGACAGCCCCAUGGAGUCGCCUUUCUCUCCAAUUAGGAUCUUAGUGGCAUGGGACUCUUCUCUCUCUCCCUCUUUACCUCAAAGAAAAAAGUUGCAAAUCAUAGUCUCCUUCCAAUCCGUGUUCGCCCGGAGAUUAUCCCUGCACAAUGUCAGCUCCAACUCGAUGGCCAUGGGCGACCAACGACGGCUCCUACUGUGCCGCCUAUAUCCACAUGCGAGGCUGCAAGGUCAAGAUUAAACCUUCUACUCAUCUGCCCUCAGUUUCAAAACUCCAUCAAUGCUUCUGAUCUAAAAAGAGCCAACUAUCAGGGUAGGGUAAGAUGUAAUCGAUGGUCUUCCAAAGUAGAUGCUGCUGGUCCCGUAUGUGGAGCAUUGACAAUUCUAAAACCUACUACAGGACUGCUGGAGAGAGAUUUAUCUGUCCGAAGUCGCCGAGGUCAUUCUAGGUUAUGCAUCUCCACUCUUAUUAUAAGUAGACGCGCAAAGCCAAUCUGUUGAUUUAAGGUCGCUAGAUCACAAGUACCUAAAUUGGUUUGAUUUUUCCUUCUCAAUGAGAUAUGUUUGCAUGGUGAAUUGCUUUGUUUUCAUGCUGUAGAUGAUUCCCAGGUGGUUAUUCGGACAGCAUGCUGCCACUCCAGAAGAACUAAGAUAUGUUGCUGUUCCCAAGUCUCAACAGCGACCACGGCCUCUUCUGCCAUGCAAACUUGGUCGGGUGUCUCCCAUGCCUUGGUGGCAGCUAACCGGUUGUGUCCAGUCACACAAGAGAACGGCCAUUAGAGGCAACACAUGCAGAUUGAAGGGGGGAAGCAGGAGUGCCGGAAAACAGAAAUUGCAAGCAUGUCGUUCAUGCAGGAAAGAGGGACAACGGACAGAUGGGAACUGACGGAGCGAUAGAUGCUUACACCGGUAAGUGCUCUGGACAUGGGAUCUUAGCUAACCCUGGGACUGAAUCAUGCCUUUUGUUGUGGUUCAGCCAUACAUUUAUUUUUUUCAAAGGAAUUAAUGAGUUUUCUUACCAAACUUUUUGAUUUUCUUUCAGAAAUAAUAAACAGUUUUUAAUCCCAGCUAUGUUGCUAUUACAUGGAUUGUGAUUAUUGUUUGUUUCUUCUUUUAUAUUAUAUAAGAAGAAGUGACAAUGGCAACCAUCACUAUGCUCUAUGAUUCUUAAAACAUAUACAAAUGUAUUGAUAUAUUCUGCUAAAAAUCCGUUUGAUGCCAUAUUCAGAUGUAUACUAUAUUUUGUGUAGAAAAUUUUCAGCACGUUAGUUGGGUCAGAUACCAUAUAUAGUUUAAGAAAACAGAAACAUUCAGAUAUUCGGGGACUGAAAACUACAGUUUCAAACACUUAUUGUGUUUUGUAAGUCGAAAUGAUAUUAAAUGUAAAAUAACAAUCCAUACAGUUUGAAAUUGCUUUGAUCUAGGGACACAUGCGUACAUAAACCAACUUAAUGGAGGAGGUUAUUAGGAUGGAAUGAUACGUGGCUAAUUGAUCUUUUCAUGUUGAUGACAUUAGUUGUUGAGGCUUCUGUGCAACCUAAUCAUGGUGAAUCUCUAUAUAGCAACAGUAGUAUAAUAUAUCAGAUGGUAUAUAGUGGACAAAAGGAUCGACUUCGUCAUGUUACCAAUAAAAAAUAGUAGUUUAAAACUAUUAAUAUCUAGCCACAUAUUAAAUUGAUGGCCUUUUGCGAGGGUAUCUGAUGGUUGUCUUUUUUGAAAUGGUGUGGAUGGUAGCCCGUAAAGGUGAUGCCUUACGAUGGAGCAAUUGCAACCAGUUAAAAAAUUAUAUUACGAUCUAUGCCUAUAAGUUGGAGAUUCACUCCAAGGCAACAUACGAAUGAUAUAUAUGGUUUAUAUACAAUUCCCGUCAUUUAUUUUACAUUAAAUUAAAGAAUGUAAUUCUAUAACGAAAAGCGGAAGAGUAAAUAUAUUUUGCUAUUUUGUCUUAGAGGGCACAAGUUCAUGAAACUUAAUCUCUAAAAGUCUAAUUGAUUCCAAGGAAUUUUAAUAGAAAGAUUUUGUGGUGCAGAUGUUGAAAUUAAAGGAAAACUACGUAAUCGAUAUUUUUUGUCUUAUUAGUUGACACGCUAGAUAAAUUAUGCUUCUGUAGGUCUUAAUUGAGUCCGCUUCAGUAUGCAAGAAUUAAUUUUAUUCAAAAUUAUUAAUAGUCUAUUUGAGUUUCACUUUCUAUUGCCAAAAAAUAAACUACAUAAAUAAGUUUACAAAAAUAUAGGUUCAAAUCCAUUGUGCUCCAGAACUCGAGGAAAAAUAAUAAUGAAUGGAUCAAAAGGUUCUCGCAAAAAAAGAACUGGAGAAAUAUAUAAUUAAUAGAUCGAAAGGUUCUCGCACAAAAAAAUAAUGAAUGGAUCGAAAGGUUCUCGCACAAAAAUAUAGGUUCAAAUCCAUUGUGCUUCAGAACUGGAGAAAUUGUAUACGGGAUUCCUCUGAUAACACCUUUAAACACAUCGAGUAUCAUGAAAAUAUUUGGAUCUCAUCUAUAAUUUUAAACUGAUUUCUUAUGCUUAAAACUAACAAUCAAUCAUAGGAGUACUAUCAGGAUACCCAUUAUUUUUAGAGGAGACCUUCUUGGGCUGUGAGUUGUUACAAGAAACUAGGUUUGUUCAUGAAAAUAGAUGUUACUACUAUAUUUGGUUCGUUUCUAACUAUACCAUGCAAGACAAUAUCCCUAUAUGUAGCUGAUUUAUAUGUUAUUUGUCUUUUUUUUGUUGCUAAAGAUUGCACCUUUAUUAUAGUUAAUUAGUGAUUGAGGAAAUCCUGCAAUGACAUUAUUUGUUUCCCCCUACAUAUCACAAAGGACUACUUUCACAUGUUGUCAUACUCAUGCUUUUUUAGUUUUUUUUUAUGCUAGCCCGUGCAGUUGCACGGGUUCACGACUAGUUAUUUUAUUAAUUGUUCAUCAAGACCAUACAAAGCAAUGCAUCAACAAGUCUGAAGUCACCAUCUCGGCAAAAUCCAUCGCUAUUCCUAUCAACUUGUAGAAGGGGGUGCAGAUUAUCUGAGCCGUAUACCCAUACCUCACACCAAA
Long non-coding RNA from Aegilops tauschii subsp. strangulata, 4112 nucleotides. RefSeq lists it as uncharacterized. Lineage: Eukaryota; Viridiplantae; Streptophyta; Magnoliopsida; Poales; Poaceae. The record is from RefSeq and is a predicted model, not a curated record.